CGUAGGGGCAAGCGUUAUCCGGAUUUACUGGGUGUAAAGGGAGCGUAGGUGGUAUGUUAAGUCAGAUGUGAAAGCCCGGGGCUCAACCCCGGGACUGCAUUUGAAACUGGCAUGCUUGAGUGCAGGAGAGGUAAGUGGAAUUCCUAGUGUAGCGGUGAAAUGCGUAGAUAUUAGGAGGAACACCAGUGGCGAAGGCGGCUUACUGGACUGUAACUGACACUGAGGCUCGAAAGCGUGGUAGCGAACAGGAUU
RNAcentral lists this ribosomal RNA (252 nucleotides) under uncultured bacterium. RNAcentral's name for it is "partial 16S ribosomal RNA". It matches the Rfam family "Bacterial small subunit ribosomal RNA", at positions 526 to 779 of the family's 1533-position model. The record is from RNAcentral.